Molecule: ribosomal RNA, 468 nt
Filed under: uncultured bacterium
Lineage: Bacteria
Description: partial 16S ribosomal RNA
Rfam family: Bacterial small subunit ribosomal RNA
Source: RNAcentral
GACGAACGCUGGCGGCGUGCUUAACACAUGCAAGUCGAACGGAAAGGCCCUGCUUUUGUGGGGUGCUCGAGUGGCGAACGGGUGAGUAACACGUGAGUAACCUGCCCUUGACUUUGGGAUAACUUCAGGAAACUGGGGCUAAUACCGGAUAGGAGCUCCUGCUGCAUGGUGGGGGUUGGAAAGUUUCGGCGGUUGGGGAUGGACUCGCGGCUUAUCAGCUUGUUGGUGGGGUAGUGGCUUACCAAGGCUUUGACGGGUAGCCGGCCUGAGAGGGUGACCGGCCACAUUGGGACAGAGAUACGGACCAGACUCCUACGGGAGGCAGCAGUGGGGAAUAUUGCACAAUGGGCGGAAGCCUGAUGCAGCAACGCCGCGUGCGGGAUGACGGCCUUCGGGUUGUAAACCGCUUUCGCCUGUGACGAAGCGUGAGUGACGGUAAUGGGUAAAGAAGCACCGGCUAACUACGUG